Molecule: long non-coding RNA, 1027 nt
Organism: Carassius carassius (crucian carp)
Lineage: Eukaryota; Metazoa; Chordata; Actinopteri; Cypriniformes; Cyprinidae
Exons: 4
Source: RefSeq, a predicted model, not a curated record
GUGGUGCUUUUCAGGAGCUCCAGCAAUCUUGGCUGAAUGUGAUGGCUCCCAGUGCAGGGAGGGCUCGGCUCGGCGCUGCUGCGGAAUGGAAGACUGCUGCUCGCCUGCCCUUCUGUCUCUCGUCUAGGCUCAAAGUGCCAUGGUUUGAGAGUCUUACCUGGCUCUCUUCAGAUAAACAGUCUUCAGGACCCUAAAGGCGCAGAGGGAAGGAUUAAGAAGAACGGCUGUGCAAUGGUGAACAGAUUCAUCCCCAGGCACCCAAUCCAUUAUCCUGUCAACAACAGCAGGUCCCUGCCACAGUUAGCAGCAACACUGGCCGUAAUGAAAUCAUCAGUAAUCCCAAAACUCAUCUCAUCAUACCCAAGGUACAAAAUCUUCUCUCUGACUGUAUGAUACCAUGACAAAACAGUUAAACAACAGGCUGUGGACAUCAGUGGAAGACACAGGCUGUAGCCUAGUCUUUAACAGUGAAUUACCUGUAAAACAUUUGCCUGCAGGAAAUGGAAUCUGACUUACCUUUAGUGGUGAAGAAACUCAAAGAAAUGGAUAUCUAUGGAUUAUCAGUGAGAAAACUGAUUUCAUUUUUACACUGUCUAAUGGUGAAAUCAUUUCAUUUCAGCUCUAUUUUUCAGUUCUUGUAUUAUAUUUGAAAAAAAUCUGCCGUUGGGAAAUCUCAUGUUUAUAAUUGUAGGGAAAUGUGAAUUGCGAAAAGAUUUUUAUUAUUAUUAUUUUUUUUGGACAAACAUGAUAAUUUGAUUGAUUUAGAUGGUGAACUGAAAAUUAAUUCGUCUAACGCAUUCGAGUAGGCUUUGAGUCCCAUGUUAUUCAAUCGAUAUUAGGUAUCUGUCUUCUGCAAGUGAUUGAAUGAAAGAGCUUAAGCGCGGUUUACAAGCUUGCUAAGGAUGGACAGUGUCUUGUAAUAUUUAUAUAUUUAAAACCGGUUUAUCAUUACAUAUUUUAUGAUUUAUAUUGUUUGUUUCGGUUGCAAAAAUGUUGAGAAUUCACUUUUUAUUUUUAUUUUAACGUU